GGUGGCUCAGUGGUAGAGUGCUUGCCUUGUGUGCAUGAGGUCUGGGUUCGAUUCCUCAGCACCA
This 64-nucleotide transfer RNA is filed under the name Dipodomys ordii (Ord's kangaroo rat). It matches the Rfam family "tRNA". Rfam says of the family: Transfer RNA (tRNA) molecules are approximately 80 nucleotides in length. Their secondary structure includes four short double-helical elements and three loops (D, anti-codon, and T loops). Further hydrogen bonds mediate the characteristic L-shaped molecular structure. tRNAs have two regions of fundamental functional importance: the anti-codon, which is responsible for specific mRNA codon recognition, and the 3' end, to which the tRNAs corresponding amino acid is attached (by aminoacyl-tRNA synthetases). tRNAs cope with the degeneracy of the genetic code in two manners: having more than one tRNA (with a specific anti-codon) for a particular amino acid; and 'wobble' base-pairing, i.e. permitting non-standard base-pairing at the 3rd anti-codon position. The record is from Rfam by way of RNAcentral. Lineage: Eukaryota; Metazoa; Chordata; Mammalia; Rodentia; Heteromyidae.